This 462-nucleotide ribosomal RNA is filed under the name uncultured Saprospirales bacterium. Its description in RNAcentral is "bacterial SSU rRNA". It matches the Rfam family "Bacterial small subunit ribosomal RNA", at positions 336 to 795 of the family's 1533-position model. Lineage: Bacteria; Pseudomonadati; Bacteroidota; Saprospiria; Saprospirales. The record is from RNAcentral.
UUCCUACGGGGGGCAGCAGUAGGGAAUAUUGGACAAUGGGCGAAAGCCUGAUCCAGCCAUGCCGCGUGAUAGAUGAAGGCCCUCUGGGUUGUAAAUAUCUUUUAUCUGGGAAGAAACACCUCUAUUCUUAGAGGCUUGACGGUACCAGAGGAAUAAGCACCGGCUAACUCUGUGCCAGCAGCCGCGGUAAUACGGAGGGUGCAAGCGUUAUCCGGAUUCACUGGGUUUAAAGGGUGCGUAGGCGGGCUGAGAAGUCAGUGGUGAAAGCCCCGAGCUUAACUUGGAAACUGCCAUUGAUACUGCCAGUCUUGAAUGUCGUAGAGGUAAGCGGAAUGUUGCAUGUAGCGGUGAAAUGCUUAGAUAUGUUACAGAACACCAAUGGCGAAGGCAGCUUACUAUGCGAUGAUUGACGCUGAGGCACGAAAGCGUGGGGAGCAAACAGGAUUAGAUACCCUUGUAGUC